UAUGUGAUCGUCUCUCGCAUAUCAAUAAGCGGAGGAAAAGAAACUAACAAGGAUUCCCCUAGUAACGGCGAGUGAAGCGGGAAGAGCUCAAAUUUGAAAUCUUAAAGGGUUUCCCUUUACGAAUUGUAGUUUAAAGAAGUGUUUUCUGUUGAGGUUUUGGUAAAAGUUCUUUGGAAUAGGACAUCAUAGAGGGUGAGAAUCCCGUAUUUGACCUUUACUUUCAACUUUGUGAUACACCUUUCAAAGAGUCGGAUUGUUUGGGAAUGCAGUCCAAAAUGGGUGGUAAAUUUCAUCUAAAGCUAAAUAUUGGCGAGGAGACCGAUAGCGAACAAGUACCGUGAGGGAAAGAUGAAAAGAACUUUGAAAAGAGAGUUAAACAGUACGUGAAAUUGUCAAAAGGGAAGCGUUUGACACCAGUGUUGUUUUUCUGAAAAUCAAUUAAAGAACUGUUUAUGCUAAGCUGUUUAGACUUUAUCAGCUAUCUGUUUAGUUUUGAGCUUUUCUUUAAUGCACUUUUCAGUUAACAAGUCAACAUCAAUUUCUUUUGCUGUAAAAAAGCUUGAGGAAGGUGGCUUGAGAUUCGUCUUAAGUGUUUAUAGCCUCUUGCCUAUGCAGUCGGAGAGAUUGAGGUCUGCAGCGUAGAUCCUUCGGGGCUAAAUGCAUUUGUGCUAAGUUAUAGCAUUUUAUAGACAACUUGUUGACUAUGAUUUGUCUUGUAGCUUACUCGCUUAUGUUAUUUUACCUACGCUUAGGAUGUUGAGCGCAUGUCUCUCUCU
RNAcentral lists this ribosomal RNA (776 nucleotides) under uncultured Neocallimastigales. RNAcentral's name for it is "partial large subunit ribosomal RNA". It matches the Rfam family "Eukaryotic large subunit ribosomal RNA", at positions 24 to 616 of the family's 3401-position model. Lineage: Eukaryota; Fungi; Neocallimastigomycota; Neocallimastigomycetes; Neocallimastigales. The record is from RNAcentral.